UCUCCGUUGGUGAACCAGCGGAGGGAUCAUUACCGAGUUAUUCUACUCCCAAACCUCUGUGAACUAAUACCUUUACUGUUGCUCCGGCGGGUUAACGCCCCGGAAGGCCCGCGAGCGCCGCCGGCACCAGGCGCCCGCCGGGGGACCCAAACUCUUGCAUCUUUUUUAUAGCAUGUCUGAGUGGAAUCAUAAACAAAUGAGUCAAAACUUUCAACAACGGAUCUCUUGGUUCUG
This 234-nucleotide unclassified non-coding RNA is filed under the name plant metagenome. RNAcentral describes it as "partial contains small subunit ribosomal RNA, internal transcribed spacer 1, and 5.8S ribosomal RNA". The record is from RNAcentral.